CUCAUUCGGAUUUAUCUCCAUGAUCGAAAGGGUUUAUGUUGUAGAGCUUGUCAAGACGAUAAACGUUGUUGAAGAUCAUAUUAAUCGAACACUGAUCAACACAUAAUCGGCGAUCAUGUGUGUGAAAUUGCUUCUAUGAAAAUAGACUUGGCCACAGGGUGUGGAACCCAUUUUAGCAAAAAAUACAUUCGACUCCGACGAAGAGAGAGAGAGAUAGAGAGAGAGAGAGAGAGAGAAUGUGGGUUUUCAGCGCAGAAGGCCUUCUGGAUUCUCACUCCAUUGUAACAGGUGAAUACAGUUCAGAGAACUCUUGUGGAAGCUUCGGGCUUGAUCGGAGAGACCUUUGUUGAUCCCACCUUCAAUCAUCAAGGUGAUCAGCCAUGGAAUUUCACAAAGUCUAAUGGAUGAAGCAAUGGUUGCGCUCCAGGAGUUUUUUGAAUUGCCUCAAGUGGUCAAGAAAGCGUGUUCACCGCAGACUCCCGCAAAAGAUGCAUGAAUGAGACAUAACAAUUCGGCAAGCUAGCUAAAUCAUGAUUUUCCUUGCUAAAUUUGUUAUUGACAGAGGUCGUUGGACAAUAUUCAGCAGAAGUGAGAUAGCUGUUGGAAAAUAUGCAGCUGAUUUGUCAAGGAUUGGGACUUGAACUGGGGUACUUAGGAGAUGAUCAAUUCACCGAGUAAGUUCCUGGCAGUUAAACCACUACCUGCUGUAACCAGACCCUAGUGUGACUCUUGGAUUGCCUAAACACACAAACAACAAGGGCAUGUGCAUGUGCAUGUGCAUGAACUUCAAGUCUUCAAUGAUGGGGAAUGGCUUCUUGUUGAGCCUCUUCUCAAUGCAUUCGUCCUCAACAUGCGUAAGAGGGAGAUGCAAGCUUUUUACUGAAGUGAUUUGUUUUUCGGCUAAGGGUAAAUUGGUCAUAUUUUUUGAUGUACGAAUAAUUCUAAUUCAAACAUACUUGGUUUAGAAACCAGACUUAACAAGCUUUUAUACCUUGCGAAAA
Molecule: long non-coding RNA, 1001 nt
Organism: Rhododendron vialii
Lineage: Eukaryota; Viridiplantae; Streptophyta; Magnoliopsida; Ericales; Ericaceae
Exons: 3
Source: RefSeq, a predicted model, not a curated record